Pan paniscus (pygmy chimpanzee) is the source of this 570-nucleotide long non-coding RNA. The record is from Ensembl. Lineage: Eukaryota; Metazoa; Chordata; Mammalia; Primates; Hominidae.
AUCAGUGGUCAGGGGAGAUGACAGUGAUAGUGUCUUUGGAAGACUAAAUGCCACAGCCAUGAUUUCCAGUCACUGCAGCAGGAGGCCAUCCAGAAGGGCGAUGUAAUUCCCAUUACAGUUGAUGGAAACAGCAGAUUGAAAAAAAGAAGCACAAUGACAAAAAAAGAUUCCAGGGGCUGGAAGUCUGAAAACUACAUUUCUAAGACAUCUACUGGCAAGAGAUGAAAAUGUGAAAGACAGAGAGAAGUCACUGUGAGAUUCUGCUGUCCCAGUUAACAGGAGCAGGAAGCUCAUGGACUCUUGACUCUUGAAGCCAGCAAUGGCAAUGGCAGCAAAGGCCACCACAGACAACUGUGAGCUGCUGCAGCUGUCAUGAGGCAACAGGGGCAGGAACUGGAAGAGAACACCAAGACUGUCUCUCAAGUUAGCAGUGGGCACCCUACGACCUCCACGGUGGAUUACCCGUCAUGCCUACUUGACCCACUUGGAUUUGUUGUCUUGUGGAGUCUCACAUUUGCUGUUAACUUUUCAAUUAUUAGCCUUGCCUCUCCAAAACUUUCAAAAUCUCCC